UAAAUUAAAAAAAAAAAAUCAAAAUGUUUGCAUUUAUUCCGUAUUACAGACUAUUUAAAAGACCCAGAGAGAGAGGAAGAUAGAGAAGGACAAAUUACGGGGAAGACCCAAUGGUGAAGAGAUACAGAGAAAUCCACAGAGAGAAGAGGAAGAGCAGCUCAGAAUUUCUCAAUAUCCUCCCAUCUGUGGACUUGAACAGCUGUAGACUUUGAAAAGGAUGUGGUGUGCAUCUUAAAAACUGCAGACCCAUUCCGUAUUUUGAGACUGAUGGUUCAGUUCUUGGAAUAAGACUAUCCAACAGAGAGGAAGGACAGGAGCCACCUCCAAUUCCAUGUUAUCGGCUGCAGAUGAGCCACACGCUGCUCUAAGGUAAGGGUCAAAGUGUCUG
This 388-nucleotide long non-coding RNA is filed under the name Aotus nancymaae (Ma's night monkey). Its description in RNAcentral is "lncRNA (ENSANAG00000039048.1)". Lineage: Eukaryota; Metazoa; Chordata; Mammalia; Primates; Aotidae. The record is from RNAcentral.